RNAcentral lists this ribosomal RNA (690 nucleotides) under uncultured bacterium. RNAcentral's name for it is "bacterial SSU rRNA". It matches the Rfam family "Bacterial small subunit ribosomal RNA", at positions 67 to 750 of the family's 1533-position model. The record is from RNAcentral.
CGGUAACAGGCCCUUCGGGGUGCUGACGAGUGGCGGACGGGUGAGUAAUACGUAGGAAUCUGCCUUGUUGAGAGGGAUAGCCUAGGGAAACUUAGGGUAAUACCGCAUAAGCCUGAGAGGGGAAAGCCGGGGAGCCGCAAGGUCCUGGCGCGAUGAGAUGAGCCUACGUCGGAUUAGCUGGUUGGUGGGGUAAAGGCCUACCAAGGCGACGAUCCGUAGCUGGUCUGAGAGGACGACCAGCCACACUGGGACUGAGACACGGCCCAGACUCCUACGGGAGGCAGCAGUGGGGAAUAUUGGACAAUGGGCGGAAGCCUGAUCCAGCAAUGCCGCGUGUGUGAAGAAGGCCUGAGGGUUGUAAAGCACUUUCAGUGGGGAGAAAGAGGCUGUCGCUAAUAUCGGCAGUGGAUGAUGUUACCCACAGAAGAAGCACCGGCUAACUCUGUGCCAGCAGCCGCGGUAAUACAGAGGGUGCGAGCGUUAAUCGGAAUUACUGGGCGUAAAGGGUGCGUAGGUGGUUUUGUAAGUUAGAUGUGAAAUUCCUGGGCUUAACCUGGGGACUGCGUCUGAUACUGCGAAGCUAGAGUACUGUAGAGGGAAGUGGAAUUUCCGGUGUAGCAGUGAAAUGCGUAGAUAUCGGAUGGAACAUCAGUGGCGAAGGCGACUUCCUGGACAGAUACUGACACUGAG